AUUCAAGUUCUUUACAAAACAAGUGCUUUUUGUGGCACAGACACCACUAUGGAGUUUAAACAGUAUUUUCCUUCACAUUGUUCUAAUUGUGCCUUUCAGUUAAUCUCAAAAACGGGUUUGACUGUAUAUUGUUGCUCUUUUCUGAAUGCCAUCCAUGUUUAGGCCAUAAAUGCUAUAUGGUGACUGAAUAUUUUCACAUUUGUUGUUAUGAAAAAACUAUUAUAGGAAUAAUUAUUUCGGUUUUGUUAGACCAUUUCAACCCUCUUAGUGAUUCCUUAAGAGAAAGCCACAGAAAGUGAUGUGGAAACUUUGUUUUAAAUGGGGUUUAGGCAUUUCUAAUAAAACCGUUGAUACAUUAGCAAACAAACGUCUUUACUUUCAUAAGAUUCUUUAGAUUGUUUGGCUAAAUGGUUUGAAAGCCGCAUGAAAAUUCAGCGUCAACGUAACUGCUCUUUGCUUGAAAGGCACCGCGGUUUGUGCGUAAUUACGCACACAGCAGUGCAUUUCACAUUGAUGAACCUCGGGCGUUUCUUUUGUUUAACCAAAGGAAAAGCAUGUACGUACAAGUUUAAAACAGUACAACCUCUUUAACUAAUUAUCAUCACAGAGGCGUUUCAUUUUUCUGCAAAGCAAGAGCGUCUGACUCACCUUCGGGAAGCAGCAUCGCCAGUUGAACUCAGUUGCAGAUAGCAGGACACCGUUUCAUCUGGUCGUCCUCGCGGUCACCGCAGCUCUUACUCCUUGGCAGGGGAAUAAAACUCCGGCUAUCACAUAGCAGCAGCAGCAGACAGAGAGAAACAGGAUGCCCAGCAUCACCACACACUGGGCUAUUCACCUGUCAAUCAAACCCCUGCAGCCAGGUGCGCUGCUGGCCUGCUCCUACAACACACUGCCAACACCACGAAGAUAAGGAGGACUCAGUCAUACAAACAAUCAAUCAAGAGGUGGCUAGGUGCUUAUGGCUAGGUCUUUAGAUGUGGAUGUAAAUAAAUAGUAAAAACACAAGUCAGUAUUGCUAAUUUUAAAGUGACACAUACAAUUAUGUCACAGCUUUUCAUAAUUUGCCAACUUGAGGCACUUUUUGCAUGUUUUCUAUAUUAAAAGUUGUGAUAGUCACAUUAUUUUUGACAUUAUAGACGGUUAUCCUGCUUAGAAGCAAACCAUCAGAGGAUUGUUAAUUCAGGGUGGGUUGGAAUGAGUCACCUUGGUUAAAUAAAAUUCUAGUAAUAAAACUGCAAUAUUUUAUCUAGUAUCUAUAGAUUCUCUAGGCCCUCCAGUGAAGUAAACAUUAUUUAUUAAUAAAUGGUGAUAGAUCUUGUCACUUAACAAAGCCAUUAUGCCUGCAACUUCAGAUGUAUCCUCUAUUUUACUGGGGUUUUUUUGUCUUGAUGCUAUGUGGACUUGCAGACAGAUAGGAGUCAAACAGUCCAUGGCAGGACUAAAAGAUUAAGGAUUCAUGAAAGAACCAGCACAAAGAAACCCCACAAAAGUGAAUUCCAUUUAGGAAUCUUAGUUAUGCCAAAACAGAAGAUUUUUAAAAAGGCCACUAUAACCUUACUGUUACAUCACAUAACCUAUAAUUCCCAACAGCAACACUAUUGGAGUCAUCUUUAUUUUCCAAUGGGUCCAAACAUCAAAUCAAUCUAUUGUAGCAUGGCUGUAACAAAGUGUAUACUAUAAUGAAGUCAGUCCUAUGGAAACACUUUAAUAAUGCAACAGGUUCAUUUAUUUUGUGUGCACUUUAAUAGCACAGAGUGCUAUCAGGAAGCAUGCUCUUUUCAGUCAUGUACGCAGCCCUAUGCAGUACAGUAAUCUGCUCUGGGAUGCUUGGUGGAGUUCCAGUAGAUAUACUAGAGAGACAUGCCAACAUCGAGUGGAAGGAUACAAAAUGAGCUUUUGUCACUCAGGUUGCCUGGGAAACCUGAGGCUGGUUUAGUGUGCAGCAGGGGCAGUGCUGUACCGUUAAAUCCACUGUAAUAUUGUCACUGAGGUCCUCGAUGGAUCUACACCACAUUCUGCUGUUGAUUAAUAGACAUAAACACAUCAGUGGCAGGUCUCAUGUUUGGUGCGAAUACGCAGACUGAAAUGCGGUGUUCAGAUUAUUGCCAGGGUUUCUUGGAGAGGUUCAGCAUGGCACAACAUGCUACCAAGCAGCCCAUCUGUCGUUGUGCUCAUUCUCAGUGUGUCCCACUAUAAGUAAGGUGAUCUGAACAUUAUAAGAGCCUAUAUCACUUCCUUGUUGAGGCUCUAAAUGCACAAAAAAAAAAAAAACUAAAAAAAACUGUUUGCUCAACCGGGAACCUUAUGAAACACUAGUGCAAUACUACUGUACAGGAAGUCAAACUCCACAAUACAUAAGCCAUUUGCCAGUUCUUCUGCAUGCAUAGUCUUCAUCUAAAUUGGCCUGCUUGCUUCAUUUUCACUGGCAAUGUAAUUCCCUGUAGGUUAAAUUCCUGUUGGUCUUGUAAAUUUAGUGCCUCAGCCUAGUUUUUAUUCAAAUGUAUGCACAGCCAAACAAGCUUAUAAACACAUUGGAUCCUAAACAACAACAAGCAUAAACCGUUUCUCUAUUUAUCAAUAUUGUGACUGAGAUUAUAAGAAACUGACUGUGAUAUACUAAUUGAACGUUACAUUGUUGGCAGGUAGUUUCUUGUUGCAUGUAUUUGUUACAUUUCCUAGGGGGGUGGAAUUAUUCCCAUUCAGAAAUAUCUCAGUGCUGCAAAGAAAGAACAGAGUGUGGAUUAAUUUACACAGACUUUAAUAUCUUUAUUUACAGAUGAAUCAUUUUGACAUAUUUAUCUGUUGAUGAUGCAAUACUUUUCAAACUCAUUUUGAACUAUUUCCAUCCAGACUUGUGACAGGUUGUGUUACGGCUGAACAUGUUUGUUUUUUUUCUCUCAGUUUAAAAACAAGAAUCCAAAUGUAUUCCUGCAGGAGGCCAAAAUCAAAUAAAAUGUUUAAAAAAUGUGAGGAAAAA
Siniperca chuatsi (mandarin fish) is the source of this 2977-nucleotide long non-coding RNA. RefSeq lists it as uncharacterized. Lineage: Eukaryota; Metazoa; Chordata; Actinopteri; Centrarchiformes; Sinipercidae. The transcript is spliced from 2 exons. The record is from RefSeq and is a predicted model, not a curated record.